GGUGCAGCGGUGAAAUGCGCAGAUAUCAGGAGGAACACCGGUGGCGACGGCGGGUCUCUGGGCCGAUACUGAACGCUGAGGAGCGAAAGCGUGGGGAGCGAACAGGAUAAGAUACCCUGGAUAGUCCACGCUGUAAACGUUGGGCGCAACGUGUGUGGGGCCUCUCCGGUUCCCUGUGCCGCAGCUAACGCAUUAAGCGCCCCGCCUGGGGAGUACGGCCGCAAGGCUAAACUCAAAGGAAUUGACGGGGGCCCGCACAAUCGUCGGAGCAUGCGGAUUAAUUCGAUGCAACGCGAAGAACCUUACCUGGGUUUGACAUGGCCGCAAAACUGUCAGAGAUGGCAGGUCCUUCGGGGGCGGUCACAGGUGGUGCAUGGCUGUCGUCAGCUCGUGUCGUGAGAUGUUGGGUUAAGUCCCGCAACGAGCGCAACCCUCGUUCGAUGUUGCCAGCGCGUUAUGGCGGGGACUCAUCGAAGACUGCCGGGGUCAACUCGGAGGAAGGUGGGGAUGACGUCAAGUCAUCAUGCCCCUUAUGUCCAGGGCUUCACGCAUGCUACAAUGGCCGGUACAAUGGACUGCGAUACCGUGAGGUGGAGCGAAUCCCAAAAAGCCGGUCUCAGUUCGGAUCGGGGUCUGCAAACUCGACCCCGUGAAGUCGGAGUCGCUAGUAAUCGCAGAUCAGCAACGCUGCGAU
This 694-nucleotide ribosomal RNA is filed under the name uncultured bacterium. RNAcentral describes it as "bacterial SSU rRNA". It matches the Rfam family "Bacterial small subunit ribosomal RNA", at positions 672 to 1363 of the family's 1533-position model. The record is from RNAcentral.